CAGAAUUGACAUGGCAAAAAAUUAUUUGAGAGAAUUACAUUGUCAAAAUGGCUAAUGGAACAUCAAUCCUGAUUCUAAUGGAACCCUAUAAGGUUUAUAAUAUGCUAUAAUAAGCAAAAGUAUUUACAACAAGUUCAAAAGCUCCUUCUUCAAUCAUCAGCUUCCAUUCAAUCCCAAUCGGUAUCACCAAAUUCAUCAUCUCUUCUGAUGUUUCCUUAAUUGUAACUAAUGAAUGUUGCGCAUUAGAUGGCAUAUCAAUUUCAUCACCAUGUACAUCUUCUCUUGACCAUCUGACAUCAACAUCAUGUAAUCUCUGGGAUGAACCAAUGUCAUCAUUAGACACCCUCCAAAAUGUAUGAUAAGAUUCACACCAAGACAAUGGGAAUUGCUUACCUUGAAGAUGGGAGAAAGUUGGGGGUCUUGAGAGAGUGGAGAGGAGCCCCAAGAAUCGGCUCCAAGAGAGAGUGGAGAGGAGCCACUUCUUGAACGACAUUCGUCGGAAAAAAGUCACCGAAAAGUUAGUCGGGGUGAUGGGGAUCUCGUCGGAACCGGCUGGAACAAUGUGGGUCCGGGCAAUUUUGAAGAGGCGAGUGCCAAAACGGGAACUUCUGG
RNAcentral lists this long non-coding RNA (612 nucleotides) under Nicotiana tabacum (common tobacco). RNAcentral's name for it is "long non-coding RNA (NTAB_LNC009141)". The record is from RNAcentral. Lineage: Eukaryota; Viridiplantae; Streptophyta; Magnoliopsida; Solanales; Solanaceae.